RNAcentral lists this transfer RNA (69 nucleotides) under Bos taurus (domestic cattle). It matches the Rfam family "tRNA". From Rfam's summary of the family: Transfer RNA (tRNA) molecules are approximately 80 nucleotides in length. Lineage: Eukaryota; Metazoa; Chordata; Mammalia; Artiodactyla; Bovidae. The record is from Rfam by way of RNAcentral. RNAcentral also lists the same sequence under 5 other names.
CCUGGUGGCUCAGAGAUUAAAGCAUCUACCUGCAAGGUAGGAGACCCAGGUUCAAUCCCUGGGUCAGGA